This 318-nucleotide long non-coding RNA is filed under the name Homo sapiens (human). Its description in RNAcentral is "PREDICTED lncRNA (TCONS_00148413)". Lineage: Eukaryota; Metazoa; Chordata; Mammalia; Primates; Hominidae. The record is from RNAcentral.
GCGGAAAGCGCGCGCCAGCUGCACGCAGGGAAACAGUUCUCAUUUUGUGUGCUCGGCUGACUGCACGUCCAGCCUCGGGCCAGCUCGAGACGGCCACAUUGCCUGGUUGAAGAUGGCUGAGCGUAAAACAGAAUGCAAGUCAGCUGGAGCACGUACUACUGGAGGCAGAGCCCCAUGAGAAGGGGCCAAGAACCCGCACCCAUCAAAAUCAAGAAGAAAGGCUGAACCCGGAGAGAAAAGGGAGAAGCAGUCUGUUCCCUGGACAUGCUCCUCUCUCUCAGUCCUCAGGUGGUGCCAGUUGGUGGGGGAGAAUGUUCC